UUGGAGGGCAAGUCUGGUGCCAGCAGCCGCGGUAAUUCCAGCUCCAAUAGCGUAUAUUAAAGUUGUUGCAGUUAAAAAGCUCGUAGUUGAAUUUCGGGAUCAAAUUGUCGGUCGUGCCUCGGUACGCACUGGUAUUAUUGGUUCCUACCUUCUGAAGAACCGCGAUGUCAUUAAUUUGGUGUCGUGGGGAAUCAGGACUGUUACUUUGAAAAAAUUAGAGUGUUUAAAGCAGGCUUACGCUUGAAUACAUUAGCAUGGAAUAAUGAAAUAGGACGUUUGAUUCUAUUUUGUUGGUUUCUAGGAUUGACGUAAUGAUUAAUAGGGAUAGUUGGGGGCAUUAGUAUUCAAUUGUCAGAGGUGAAAUUCUUGGAUUUAUUGAAGACUAACUACUGCGAAAGCAUUUGCCAAGGAUGUUUUCAUUAAUCAAGAACGAAAGUUAGGGGAUCGAGGACGAUCAGGUACCGUCGUAGUCUUAACCAUAAACUAUGCCGACUAGGGAUCGGAUGAUGUUAAUUUUUUAAUGACUCAUUCGGCGCCUUACGGGAAAC
This 548-nucleotide ribosomal RNA is filed under the name uncultured Glomeromycotina. RNAcentral describes it as "SSU rRNA". It matches the Rfam family "Eukaryotic small subunit ribosomal RNA", at positions 548 to 1098 of the family's 1831-position model. The record is from RNAcentral. Lineage: Eukaryota; Fungi; Glomeromycota.